CGUGAACGCUGGCGGUAGGCCUAACACAUGCAAGUCGAACGGCAGCACAGUAAGAGCUUGCUCUUACGGGUGGCGAGUGGCGGACGGGUGAGGAAUACAUCGGAAUCUACUUUUUCGUGGGGGAUAACGUAGGGAAACUUACGCUAAUACCGCAUACGACCUACGGGUGAAAGCAGGGGAUCUUCGGACCUUGCGCGAUUGAAUGAGCCGAUGUCGGAUUAGCUAGUUGGCGGGGUAAAGGCCCACCAGGGCGACGAUCCGUAGCUGGUCGGAGAGGAUGAUCAGCCACACUGGAACUGAGACACGGUCCAGACUCCUGCGGGAGGCAGCAGUGGGGAAUGUUGGGCAAUGGGCGCAAGCCUGAUCCAGCCAUACCGCGUGGGUGGAGAAGGCCUUCGGGUUGUAAAGCCCUUUUGUUGGGAAAGAAAAGCAGCAGGUUAAUACCCCGCUGUUCUGACGGUACCCAAAGAAUAAGCACCGGCUAACUUCGUG
Molecule: ribosomal RNA, 492 nt
Filed under: uncultured bacterium
Lineage: Bacteria
Description: partial 16S ribosomal RNA
Rfam family: Bacterial small subunit ribosomal RNA
Source: RNAcentral